AGAAAGAUAAGCUAACUAAGCUACUGGGUUCAUACCCCAUUUAUAGAGGUUUACCCCUCUUCUCUCUA
This 68-nucleotide transfer RNA is filed under the name Lednia tumana. Its description in RNAcentral is "tRNA-Met". The record is from RNAcentral. Lineage: Eukaryota; Metazoa; Arthropoda; Insecta; Plecoptera; Nemouridae.